UUUUUGGGAAUAAUUUAAAGUCUAAUCUGCCCACUGAUUAUAAAAUUAAAGGGCUGCAGUAUUUUGACUGUACAAAGGUAGCAUAAUCAAUAGUCUCUUAAUUGGUGACUUGUAUGAAAGAUUUGAUGAAAUAUAAACUGUCUCUAUUAAAUUUAUAAAAUUUAAUUUUUUAGUUAAAAAGCUAAGAUUUUUUUAAAAGACGAGAAGACCCUAUAGAGUUUUAUAAUUUAUUUAUUUUUAAUUUUGUUUAAAUAUUAAAGUUAUAAGUAAAUGAAUUAUUUUAUUGGGGUGAUAGAAAAAUUUAAUAAACUUUUUUUUAAAAUUUUUACAUUAAUUUAUGAAUAUAUGAUCCGUAAAUUACGAUUAAAAGAUUAAAUUACCUUAGGGAUAACAGCGUAAUUUUUUUUUUUAGUUCAAAUAAGAAAAAGAGUUUGCGACCUCGAUGUUGGAUUAAGAUAAAAUUUAUAAUGCAAAAGUUUAAAAUUUUUGAUCUGUUCGAUCAUUAAAAUCUUACA
Molecule: ribosomal RNA, 515 nt
Filed under: Zerynthia rumina africana
Lineage: Eukaryota; Metazoa; Arthropoda; Insecta; Lepidoptera; Papilionidae
Description: partial 16S ribosomal RNA
Rfam family: Bacterial large subunit ribosomal RNA (bases 387-515)
Source: RNAcentral